UACAGAGGAGCCAAGCGUUGUCCGGAUUGACUGGGCGUAAAGCGCACGCAGGCGGAUGCGCGCGUGGGGUGUGAAAUCUGGCCGCUUAACGGCCAGGCGCCAUCCCAUACGGCGCGUCUGGAGUGAUGCAGAGGUCGAUGGAAUUGCCGGUGUAGUGGUGAAAUGCGUAGAGAUCGGCAGGAACACCCAGGGGGAAACCAGCCGACUGGGCAAGUGCUGACGCUGAGGUGCGAGAGCGUGGGGAGCGAACCGG
Molecule: ribosomal RNA, 253 nt
Filed under: uncultured bacterium
Lineage: Bacteria
Description: partial 16S ribosomal RNA
Rfam family: Bacterial small subunit ribosomal RNA
Source: RNAcentral